Molecule: ribosomal RNA, 506 nt
Filed under: uncultured Gammaproteobacteria bacterium
Lineage: Bacteria; Pseudomonadati; Pseudomonadota; Gammaproteobacteria
Also listed under: 1 other name
Description: bacterial SSU rRNA
Rfam family: Bacterial small subunit ribosomal RNA
Source: RNAcentral
GAGUUUGAUCGUGGCUCAGAUUGAACGCUGGCGGCAGGCCUAACACAUGCAAGUCGAGCGGAUGAAGAGAGCUUGCUCUCUGAUUCAGCGGCGGACGGGUGAGUAAUGCCUAGGAAUCUGCCUGAUAGUGGGGGACAACGUUUCGAAAGGAACGCUAAUACCGCAUACGUCCUACGGGAGAAAGCAGGGGACCUUCGGGCCUUGCGCUAUCAGAUGAGCCUAGGUCGGAUUAGCUAGUAGGUGAGGUAAAGGCUCACCUAGGCGACGAUCCGUAACUGGUCUGAGAGGAUGAUCAGUCACACUGGAACUGAGACACGGUCCAGACUCCUACGGGAGGCAGCAGUGGGGAAUAUUGGACAAUGGGCGAAAGCCUGAUCCAGCCAUGCCGCGUGUGUGAAGAAGGUCUUCGGAUUGUAAAGCACUUUAAGUUGGGAGGAAGGGCAGUAAGUUAAUACCUUGCUGUUUUGACGUUACCAACAGAAUAAGCACCGGCUAACUUCGUGCCA